GAUGAACGCUGGCGGUAUGCCUAACACAUGCAAGUCGUACGAGAGUUUUUAACUCUAGUGGCGGACGGGUGAGUAACACGUGAGAAUUUGCCUUUAGGAGGGGGACAACAAUCGGAAACGAAUGCUAAUACCCCAUAUGCUUUCGAGUGAAAUGGAUUUUAUCCGCCUAGAGAGAAGCUCGCGGCUGAUUAGCUUGUUGGUAAGGUAAGAGCUUACCAAGGCGACGAUCAGUAUCUGGUUUGAGAGGACGAUCAGACACACUGGAACUGAGACACGGUCCAGACUCCUACGGGAGGCAGCAGUGGGGAAUUUUGGACAAUGGGGGCAACCCUGAUCCAGCAAUGCCGCGUGAGUGAAGAAGGCCUUCGGGUUGUAAAGCUCUUUUGUCAGGGAAGAAACAGCAGCUCUAACACAGUCUGCGAAUGACGGUACCUGAAGAAUAAGCACCGGCUAACUACGUG
This 461-nucleotide ribosomal RNA is filed under the name uncultured bacterium. RNAcentral describes it as "bacterial SSU rRNA". It matches the Rfam family "Bacterial small subunit ribosomal RNA", at positions 28 to 507 of the family's 1533-position model. The record is from RNAcentral.